UACGAAGGGGGCUAGCGUUGCUCGGAAUGACUGGGCGUAAAGGGCGCGUAGGCGGCUUUGUAAGUUAGAGGUGAAAGCCCGGGGCUCAACUCCGGAAUUGCCUUUAAGACUGCAUCGCUAGAAUUGUGGAGAGGUAAGUGGAAUUCCGAGUGUAGAGGUGAAAUUCGUAGAUAUUCGGAAGAACACCAGUGGCGAAGGCGACUUACUGGACACAUAUUGACGCUGAGGUGCGAAAGCGUGGGGAGCAAACAGG
RNAcentral lists this ribosomal RNA (253 nucleotides) under uncultured bacterium. RNAcentral describes it as "partial 16S ribosomal RNA". It matches the Rfam family "Bacterial small subunit ribosomal RNA", at positions 524 to 776 of the family's 1533-position model. The record is from RNAcentral.